UAACCUGCCCAUAAGACUGGGAUAACUCCGGGAAACCGGGGCUAAUACCGCAUAACAUUUUGAACCGCAUGGUUCGAAAUUGAAAGGCGGCUUCGGCUGUCACUUAUGGAUGGACCCGCGUCGCAUUAGCUAGUUGGUGAGGUAACGGCUCACCAAGGCAACGAUGCGUAGCCAACCUGAGAGGGUGAUCGGCCACACUGGGGACUGAGACACGGCCCAGACUCCUACGGGAGGCAGCAGUAGGGAAUCUUCCGCAAUGGACGAAAGUCUGACGGAGCAACGCCGCGUGAGUGUGAAGCUUUCGGGUCGUAAACUCUGUUGUUAGGGAGAACAAGUGCUAGUUGAUUAAGCUGGCACCUUGACGGUACCUAACCAGAAAGCGGCGGCUAACUACGUGCCAGCAGCCGCGGUAAUACGUAGGUGGCAAGCGUUAUCCGGAAUUAUUGGGCGUAAAGGCGCGCGCAGGUGGUUUCUUAAGUCUGAUGUGAAAGCCCACGGCUCAACCCGUGGAGGGGUCAUUGGAAACUGGGAGACUU
Molecule: ribosomal RNA, 536 nt
Filed under: Bacillus cereus
Lineage: Bacteria; Bacillati; Bacillota; Bacilli; Caryophanales; Bacillaceae
Description: bacterial SSU rRNA
Rfam family: Bacterial small subunit ribosomal RNA
Source: RNAcentral